CGACCCGAAAGAUGGUGAACUAUACUUGAGCAGCCUGAAGCCUGAGGAAACUCAGGUGGAAGGGCGCAGCGGUACUGACGUGCAAAUCGUUCGUCAGACUUGAGUAUAGGGGCGAAAGACUAAUCGAACCAUCUAGUAGCUGGUUCCCUCUGAAAUUUCUCUCAGGAUAGCUGGAACAAAUCUAGCAGUUUUAUCAGGUAAAGCGAAUGAUUAGAGGACUCGGAGCUCAAAGAGCUUUGACCUAUUCUCAAACUUUAAAUUGGUAAGAUCUUUUAGUUCUCUUAAUUGAACUGAAAGGAAGAAUGCUUGUUCCAAGUGGGCUUAUCGUGGUAAGCAUGUUAAGCAAUGAGGGAUGAACCUACCGCUGAGAUAAGGCGCCAAAAUUCCCGCUCAUCAGAUACCAUAAAAGGUGUUGAUUCAUAUAGACAGCAGGACGGUGGCCAUGGAAGUCGGAAUCCGCUAAGGAGUGUGUUACGACUCACCUGCCGAAUGAACUAGCCCUGAAAAUGGAUGGCGCUCAAGCGUGUCACCCAUACUCAACCGUCAAGGCAAAUUGGGACCUUGACGAGUAGGAGGGCGUGGAGGUUGUGAAGAAGCCUAGGCAGUGAUGCCGGGUGAAACAGCCUCUAGUGCAGAUCUUGGUGGUAGUAGCAAAUAUUCAAAUGAGAACUUUGAAGACUGAAGUGGAGAAAGGUUCCAUGUGAACAGCAGUUGGACAUGGGUUAGUCGAUCCUAAGAGAUAGGGGAAACCCGUACUGAAGGAGGCACUACUUGCAUUAGUUUUGCCUUCUCCUAUCGAAAGGGAAUCGGGUUAAUAUUCCCGAACUCGGACGUGGAUAUCGGUGCUUGCACCAGAUGCGGUAACGCAAACGAACCCGGAGACGCUGGCAGAAGCCCUGGGAAGAGUUCUCUCUUCUUUGUUAGGGAUGAAUUCCGUGGAAUCGCUUCGCGCGGAGAUACGGAUGUUGUUCCCGUAAAGCAUCGCGGUUUUGCGGUGUCCGGUGCGCUUCUUCUGGCCCUUGAAAAUCCGGGUAAGAGAUUGAUUUUCACGCCGAAUCGUACCCAUAUCCGCAGCAGGUCUCCAAGGUGAACAGCCUCUAGUCUUUGAACAAUGUAGGCAAGGGAAGUCGGCAAAUUAGAUCCGUAACUUCGGGAAAAGGAUUGGCUCUAAGGGCUGGGCCGUUCGAGCUCCGGUUAGAAGCGGUGGUCGAUGCGUAGGAACUGGGUAAACUGAUCGUAAGGUUGGUGAACUCGGACCUUAGUCAUUGUGCUGCCGUGGAAGGCCGAAGCUACGUCGUGUGAUUCUUCGCGGGAUUGCCGAUUUCGGGCGGCGCUAAGCAGCCAACUUAGAACUGGUACGGACACGGGGAAUCCGACUGUCUAAUUAAAACAAAGCAUUGCGAUGGCCUGAGAAGGUGUUGACGCAAUGUGAUUUCUGCCCAGUGCUCUGAAUGUCAAAGUGAAGAAAUUCAAUCAAGCGCGG
RNAcentral lists this ribosomal RNA (1483 nucleotides) under Bdellovibrionales bacterium. Its description in RNAcentral is "partial 23S ribosomal RNA". It matches the Rfam family "Eukaryotic large subunit ribosomal RNA", at positions 812 to 2245 of the family's 3401-position model. Lineage: Bacteria; Pseudomonadati; Bdellovibrionota; Bdellovibrionia; Bdellovibrionales. The record is from RNAcentral.